ACCUUUCCACGUUACCUCACAUCCCUCACGUGCCUCUCUCCUCUCUCUGCUGAUAAAAAAGGAAAACCAAAACAAACUUAAAAAAAUGACUUUUUCCUUUUCCCAAAUUGUCACCCAUUUCAAUAUAUACUCUCUCUGUAAAAAGAAAAAAACUCCACCGCCAACACCGCAUCACCCUUCCUUCACAAACCAAACACCUCCUUCCGCCGCUCACCGUAACACCCUCCACUCACCGUCACCGCUCCUCAACCAUCACCAACAUCCGCCGGAAAUCUCCACACAACGACCCUCCAUUUCAACUUCCGGCGACCUCUCCAACAUCCGACGACAACCUCCGCCAUCUCAACCGCCGACAUUUUUCCUUCGUCCAAGCUUACGACUUCAAACCGCCUUCCUCAACUCUCCGGCCUCUGUGCCACUAAAAAACCUCUCACCGAAUUGUUUGUUUUCUUUAAACUUUCCGUGAACACGCAGAAUCCACCGGAUCUAAUUCUUGAAAAGCUGUUAACAACCGGAAAGAUGAGAAAUUGAUUUUUAGGUGGUUUGUGUUGCUGUUGUAAUGUCUUUGAGUUGAUUUAGAAAUGAGGCAAACCAACAUCAUGCUAUCCCCUUUUUCCGUUUUGAAUAAGCAGGAAGGGUACAAGAGACUUUGUGGUUAAGAAGGAGAAAAAAUAUAUGUGUUCAUACACGCUCUGUCAUAGAAUUUGUUGGAAUUCUGAUUUUAAAUUGCUGUUUAUGUUUUCAUUAUUUUUCCAAGAUUUGGAUUGUUUAAUAGGUUACUGCGAAUGCACCGGUUCGGUAGACAUUGUGGGGACACCAAGUUGUGGGCAUCACUGAACUCAACUUUGCAUUUCCGUAUUCGGUAAAUUCUGAACCAAAAUUCUAUUUUCUUACGGGAUAAUUUGUAUUUGAUUUGGGUAGGAAGCUGUUACUUCCUGUUGGUUGCGUAACCGGCAAAUGUUUUUACCUGCGUAUUAAACAUAGUCCCCUUUCUUCUUCUUUCAUUUUGAAUUCCUUAAUUAGCAUUGGUUAUGAACGUCUCCUGUUUGUUUAUACAAAUUUGGUCAGUUUUGAAUAUUAAAAUGUGACUAUGUUAUUAGGUAAUCAAUUGUAAUGGUAGUAUUUAAUUUCUUGUGAAAUAUUGUGUUCAACCUGUGUUUUGCUGCACACAUUAAUGGUAUGAUUGCUACAGAGUCUCAUUUAGCCAUGCCUUUUGGAAUAUUACGGUUGCUUGCGGUAAUCAUUCGAUACAUGAUAUAAUUGUGGUAGCCUAGAUUUUCUUUUAACAGGAUAACAUGAUGUAAUUGUGGUAGCCUAGAUUUUCUUUUAACAGGAUAACAUGAUGUACACACUGCAGAUAAAUUGAAAUCCGUGGAAUUGGUUAAUUAGUAUUAAAAUUAAUUAAUUAGUUAAAUUUUGGUUAAUUAAUUAAUUGCGAUUAAUCUCUUCUAAUUAUAAUUAGAAUUAAUUAAUUAGUUAAAUUUUGAUUAAUUAGUUAAUUGCGAUUAAUCUCUUCUAAUUAUAAUUAGAAUUAAUUAAUUAGUUAAAUUUUGAUUAAUUAGUUAAUUGCGAUUAAUCCCUUCUAAUUAUAAUUAAAAUUAAUUAAAUUAUUUAAUUUUAAUCAACUUGAUUAUUUGAUUUAAUUGAAUAAUUUUGGUAAUUAAUUUCAAUUAACUUAAUUAAUCGAUUUAAACCUAAAAUUAUAAUAAAUUAGUUUUCGAUAAUUACGAAUGGGUCGUUUUCUCAUAUUAUCACAAUUUCACACUCAUUUACAAAAAUCACUUCAAUUUAUUCACAAAUUAAAAACCUCGAUCCAACAUGAAGUAUUCUUUAUUAAAAUUAAGUGAAAAUACUUGAUCACAAUUAAAUACCAUUUCAUUUGGAAAUGAAAAGGGGGGAUGGUUUUGAGUUUUCAACUCCUCUCCUCGAUUAUUUGAAUACGAGUUUUCUUACUCGGUUAGUCAAAUAGUCGUCAUGUCUAAUCCACUUAAGCAAAUCAAAACAUUCUUACAAUAAUAAGAAAUGAAAAGGGAGAUAACUUUGAAUCUUCAAUUUUUUCUCCUCGACUAUUUGAAUACAAUUUCUUUUACUUGGUUAGCCAAUAAUUGUCGUUCCUUUACAAACUUCUAAACCAAAACAAAUCAAACUAUUUCAUAAUAACGAAAUGAAAAAGGAGAUGACUUCGAGUCUUCAACUUCUCUCCUCAAUUGUUUGGAUACGAGUUCUCUUACUCGGUCAUUCGAACAAUUGUCAUUUUCCACCAACUUAUACCGUAAGUUAAAUGAUUGUCGUUCUUCUACAAACUUCCAAACCCCGAUUAAAUCCAAAUAUUUUUCACAGUAAGCCAAAUGAAAAGGGAAUUGAUUUUGAGUUUUCAACUUCACUCCCCAAUUGUUUGAUUACGAGUUCUCUUACUCGGUCAGUCGAACAGUUGUCAUUUUCUGCAAACAUACAACUUAAUCAAAUCAUUUUCUUAACAAACCGUACGAAAAGGGAGAUGAUUUUGAGUUUUCAAUUCCUCUUCUCAAAUGCUUGGAUAUGAGUUGUCUUACUCAGCCAUUCGAGCACUUGUCAUUUAUUCUAAAGUACAUCAACUAUACACAAACCUAUUUUCAUAAUCACUCAGAUGAAAAAGAAAGCGGUCUAGAGUCUUCUAUUCCCUUUCCCGAUUAUUAGGAUACGAGUUGUCUUACUCGAUUAUCCGAGUAUUCGUCAUCCAUUUAAAAUACCUUAAUCAUCAUUAAGAUCCUUUCACAAUUAAGGAUGAAAAAGAAAGUGGUCUAGAGUCUUCUAUUCCCUUUCCCGACUGUUAGGAUACGAGUUGUCUUACUCGAAUAUCCGAGUAAUCGUCAUCCAACAAAAAUAUCUCAACACAUCAAACCUAUCUUCCGCACCUCUUCCGCGCCCCCGUGCGAUCAAAACAUCUCAACCAAUCAAAACAUCCAAUAUACCAACUUGUCACGUCCGUAUGAUCAAAAUCCUUUUCAAAAAGAACAUUGUUAAUCCUUUCUAAUGCGCAUAACAAACCAAUGCUUAAGCCUCCGCCGAGAGUAGACAAGCCAGUGUUUAGCCUUUAGAACGCGAUCUAAAUAGUUGUUCACUAAAAGACACCAACCAACCGUAGUUCCCCGAACUACGAAUGCUCUGAUUUCCUUAUUAUAUCAUAAGGAUACGUAGGCAGGAGAUUGUUGUAUCUUCGCGAGCACACUAAUAAAAAACCUCACAUUUCCCUUUCUGAGGUUCCCAUCCAUUUCUAUUUUCAAUAAUUUAUAACCCAAAGAUAACAAACAAACAUAAAUUAACACCCGAAAUACAAAUUAGAACUAAAAGGUUCCCGUUGAGUACAAUGGACGCAAGAGGUGCUAAUACCUUCCUCUUGCGUAAUCCACUCCCGAACCCGAAUAUGGUUGCGACGACCAUUAUUCUAUUUCCUAAAGGUUUUAUCGAUAUUUUCCUAUCCCUUCAUUGGGAUAAAUAAAGUUCGGUGGUGACUCUGUUUGAACAUAAUUUUUUCCGCGACCAUCGCGAGGAAUCGUAUUUUUCGAGAUGCGACAGAUGGCGACUCUGCUGGGGAAUAUACCUCCAAGCAAAAGAGAGUGAGGCCUAAUUUAGUUCAGUUUCUGUAUUGUGUGUUAAUCUUGUUUGUUUAUGUGUUAUUUUUAAUUUUGUUAUUAUUAUUCUGUUGUAAUUAUUAUGUUGUGAUUUAUUGGCUAUGUCUUGUUUGGGGCUCUCUGUUAGUGGUGCUUUGUGAGAUAGGUUCUUCACCCGAGUCUGAGAAAAACCAUAAGAUUAAGUUGGUGGUUGCGUAGUGGGCGCCCGCAAGGAGUCUUCCUUGUUGGGAAGAAACGAAGACCUCGCCUAGAGGAGAUUCUCUUGAGAUAUUGUUGUCCGACGAGUCUUCGUCACGAUGAUAGUAUUCUCAAGUUGGAUCAAUGACUCUAGGGACCUUUUAACCCACUAUAUCCGGCGGUUAUGUAGUAUUAACCUACGAAGUCCCAGACUUAAUGAGUUAAUACGAAAGCCCCAAUCAGAUGAGAUCCCUUGGACGUAUUACUAUCUUACAGUAAUAUUUCCAACCUCGAUCUAUGACUCUGAGAACCUUGUUAGAACCCUGGACUCGAGAGUCGUGUAGUAGAAUCCUCAUGGAGUUUUCCUUGUUUGGAUAAUACAAAGACCUCACCUAGACGAGAUCUUCUUAAAGAUAUUAUUGUCCGACGAGUCUUCGUCACGGCAGUGACGUCCUCAAGAAAUAUCCAUGACUCUGGGAACCUACCCACUGUAGAGCCUACCCAUGGGGUUCCAUUAAUCAGAGAUACUUGUCAUUCACCCGUUAUUGUGAUCCAUCUGAGAACGCUUUGAACCUGUGAUCCUGAACAUGUCACUACAUUCAUACACAUAUCAUUGUAUUCACAUUCAUCAUCAUACAUUUCAUAUCAUUUUUCACCAAAAAAUAAAUACAAAAACCUCAUCCAUCCUUCGUCCAUAACCUGCAGUUGAUUUCCCGAUACUCAUAUCAGACUUGAAGUAGCUCUUGAAAGAUUAUGGAUCCAUUGGAGCAAAGUCACAUUGCAUUAAGAGGAGAUGUUGACUUGAUGAAAAACCAGAUAGACCCACUUGUGGAAGCUAUGAUAGUUUUAGCAAAGAAGGAAGACAACAUUCAGCAGACUGCAGUUGUUGAGAAUGUAAUGCUAGCUACAGUAAAUGGUCUUACCCAACCUCAGCUUGUGCAAACCCCAGUUGAUAACUCUACUAUACUCUAUUGUUCAGACAGGAAGGCAUCCUCAACACUGGCAAUCGUUGGACUGAUUUGUUUCUAUUUUUUGUAGUUUCUUUGUUGUUAAAAGCUGCUUGUGUUUAAACAUUGUUGUUUUUAAUGGUAAUAUUGAUGAAAUAACGAUGCAUGUUUUGAAUUAAUUAUCUCGCAUUCGCUCAUUUUUUUCUUCUCUUAUAUCAAAAACAAAAAAAUACAUCAGUGUUUCUCCCAUUCACUUUUCUUUAUCAUAACUUUUGUUUUAGCAAAGAAAUUUUUUUCUUCUCUUAUAUCAAAAACAAAAAAAUACAUCAGUGUUUCUCCCAUUCACUUUUCUUUAUCAUAACUUUUGUUUUAGCAAAGAUUUGAGGGAGGAUGACGAAAACAAAACACCCAUAAUGCUGACUGUAUGCUUUCGAAUAAAAUCCUACUAAUGAUGUACAGGCAUUGUUUCAAAUCCCCAAACACUGGAGAGAUAAGGAGUUAAUCCCUAGUCAACCACUUCGAGCCUGAAGCAGGAGUUUCUUUCGAAUAUAAAAAAACCUUACAUUAAACCUGGGGCAGGGUAGUGUUCAAUUAAUCUGACUAUGCAUUCAAAUCACAAGAUGAAAUAUCCAGUAUGUGGAUCAACUACAUGACAUUCUUUGCACACAUCCUAAAGUGUCGAAGGAACCUUGAAAAAUCAAAAUGUUAUGACGGUUAUUCUUCAAUGACCAAUGACUUGGCAGUCACAAUUUCCAAAAAAAAAAUCAAAGAAAGAGCCUGAUAAGUCUAACAUCCUAAAAGGAGACUUAGGCAAAAACUGGGACAAUCCUGAUGGAUUAAAGCUUCAACAAGCGGUCCAUGCAAAAGUUAGGGAUCAAGACAAAAAAAAUCAAAGAAGGUCACGAAAGACCCUCAACAAAACAAAACAAGAAUCAGUGGCCACCAUACCAAAAUCAAAAGGUCACCAACAUCCACGAAGAGCAAAAUAGGACGACUGUCAUUUCAAGAGAUAUUGCACUGCUGAAAUCUCGCAAAAGUAAGUGUACGUCGAAUUAAUUGAACGUGGGAUUGGAGAUCAUCAUGAAGAAGGGGUGGGUUAAAAGAAACUUUGAGCCUUAUAUCCUUUUGUUUCAUUAACCAUGAACCAAGCCACAUUACAACCCUCAAAAGACCUAAUUGAAGUAAGGUUUAUUUCGAAAGCAUACUAUAGCAAGGUUGCGUAAACUGACUCCUAAAGAUUUGCUAAUCUUCAACACCGAUGUCAUUAUUCUCGUUGUGUCUUUCACACUUUAAAUUGCUAAAUCAGCAUUACAUUUGGACUCAUGGUCCACUCGUCACACAUUAUCACAUCAUUCCAAUAAAUGAUUCUUUUUCAAAACUUGCAUGAGUAUCGCAUUAAAAUUAUCAUUUCUGAACAAACAAUUUUAACUGCAAGACAGUACUUGACGUCAGGGAAAUUCCAACAAUAAGGAACAAUUAGAGGAACUUGGACAUUCGUUGGUGCUAACCCGAAUCAAGACUACCUCAUAACCACAACAAUAAGGAACAAUUAGAGGAACUUGGACAUUCGUUGGUGCUAACCCGAAUCAAGACUACCUCAUAACCCACGAAUCAGGUGCAUGCCACCCAAAACAUCAAGUUGAUCAUAGGAAAAUUACUCUAAGAGUUGGUCAGUCUUAAACAGUCUCCAACAUCUGUUAAUAAAUGUGCAAAUCAUUUCAAGAAUCAGUUGAUCCAGAGCAAAUCAUCUCAGGACUCUAUUAACUAGGGGCAGAUCACCUAGAGUUCUGUUGACCAGAGGCAGACCCCUUCAAUGUUCAGUUAGGGUGAGUUAAGUCGCUUCAACGCUCAUACCAGGGCAAGCUACCUCAAGAGCACAGAAAAGUCAACUGCUCCAAGAGUCGGUUAACCAAGGAUAAAUCCUUUCAUGGAUCAAAAUUCUAGGGCAACCCAUCUCCAAAUUAUGGUACAAUUGCUUUCAAAAUCCUUUCGAGGUAAACAUUUUGCAUAGACCCAUCACAUUGGGGCAAGAUGAGUCGUACAGGUGCAAGUCAUCUCCCUGACUUCAAGUUGUUCAAGCGAAAGCUUUUUCACACGUCAUCAACUGCAGAGUUCAAGAUGAGUGUCGGGGAAUCACGCUAUCACCCCAUAAAAUAACCUUUUGACAGAUAAAAGCCUUUCUGCAAAACACCUUCUCUUCCAAUACCCGUGCAGGGGCAUUUUGGAAACCUUCCAAUCAUUACAUAAAUCAUCAUCAUGCAUUAGUCAUGUCGCUUUGCUCUAGCAUAAAGCCAUGCAUAUGAUAUCAUUUAUCAGGCAUAACCCAUAACUGAACCUGACAUCAAAAAGCCUUGAAACCCAAAAUCUAACGCCAAAGUCUAAUUCUCGUUUGGCAAAUUAUUUCAAAGCCCAGUUCCCGUCUGGCAAUUUAUUACAAAGUCCAGUUCUCGCCUGGAAAUUUAUUUCAAAGUCCAGUUCCCGUCUGGCAAUUUAUUUCAAAGCCCAGUUCCCGUCUGGCAGCCUUUUUCAAAAGCCCAGUUCCCGUCUGGCAAUUUAUUCCAAAAUUCAGUCCCGUUUGACAUUUUAAUUAUUUUCACCAAUUCCCGUCUGGCAAUUUAUUACAAAGUCCAGUUCUCGUCUGGCAAUUUAUGACAAAGUCCAGUUCUCGCCUGACAAUUUAUUUCAAAGCCCAGUUCCCAUCUGGCAACCUUUUUCAAAAGCCCAGUUCCCGUCUGGCAAUUUAUUUCAAAGCCCAGUUCCCGUCUGGCAAUAAUAAAGUUUUGGGUCAAGGGCAGACCGUUAAGUAAAGUAAGCCCAGUUCCCGUCUGGCAAUUUAUUUCAAAACCCAGUUCCCGUCUGGCAAUUCAUUUCAAAGCCCAGUUCCCGUCUGGAAAUUUAUUUCCAAAGUCCAUUUCUCGUCUGGCGAUUUAUUUCCAAAGUCCAGUUCUCGUCUGGCGAACUAUAUCAAAAAUCAGUUCUUGCAUGACAAAUCAUUUGCGAAAUACCAGUUCUCGUCUGGUAAAGUAUCUCUUAAUACCAGUUCUCGUCUGGUAGGUCACUUAUUUCGAUACCAGUUCUCAUCUGGUAGUCAAUUAUUUUCACCAGUUCUCGUCUAGUAGCCUGCUUUAAAAAUCAGUUCCUGUUGGACAAACAAAAACAAAUCCAGUUUUGUCUGGUAGUCAAUUAUUUUCACCAGUUCUCGUCUGGUAGCCUAUUUUAAAAAAAAGUCAGUUCCCGUCUGACAAACAAAAACAAAUUCAGUCCCGUUUGACAUUUCAAUUAUUUUCACCAGUUCGCGUCUGGUAACAUAUCCUUCAAGUGUUGUCCUCAUUUGGCAGUUCAAUCUCCUUCACCAGUUCUCAUCUGGAAGCUCCCACUUAAAGUCCAACCUCGUUGGCAAUCAAGAACCCUACAAAAAAAUUAUUACCCAGUUGCAUUCCCACAUGCAUCACACGAAUCACCCAUACAUGGUUUUCCUACCAAAUAGAAAAUUCAAAAAACACAGUCAUAUCAAUCAUCAACAUACUCAUGCAUAACACUCCCACAAAAUGGGAAUUUCAACAAAAUAAAAAUCAUUCGUAUUCCUACAUGCGCAUCCUAAAUACCCCCCAGCAAAUUGCAUACUUGCAUACAUCCCAUGCACCAUCCCAUGCAUGGUAUCCCACCAAAAGUGGGACAUCAUACAAAAAUCAAAAGUAAAAUGUGAGGACCCAAGGUCAUUCAUGUAUAUCUUGGACAUUCCUCAUUCCAAAUGAAGUUAUUACCCUGCAUAUGCUCGUGGGAUUAUAUCUCAGUAAAUCAUUUUUUCGACUUUACGAUUAAUAAUGAUAUUCCGAGCAAUUUCUUUACAAUCAAUGCUCCCGCUCGCAGAGGUUACCCUAAAAAAUCUCUUAUAGCUUUUCCCCUGCAAAGCAUUUUCCAGUAUGUCCUCCUCAAAGGGAGUCCUUUUCUUAAAGUUUCCCCCAACAGACGAAUUUUUGAGAUACUGCUUCAUUUAAAUCUGAAGAAUCUCAUUUCUCUGUUUGAGAUACUGCUUCAUCAAUUUGAAGAAUCUCAUUUGUUUUCUAGAGAUACUGCUCUAAGUAUCCUCGGAGAGUCUUAGAUUCAAUUAAGGUAUCAUUCCCUUGUUUGGAAUAUCCUAAUUCUAUCAUAUAAGAUGCUGCUUCGACUCGAUACAGAGAAUCUCACUUUUACUGUUUGAGAUGUUGCUUCAUCAAUAUGAAGAGUCUCAUUCCAGAUUUGUUUCUAGAGAUACUGCUCUAAGUAUCCUCGAAGAGUCUUAGAUUCAAUUAAGAUAUUUUUCCCUUGCUGGAACAUCUUAAGUCUAUCAUAUAAGAUGCUGCUUCGACUCGAUACAGAGAAUCUCAUUUUUACUGUGUGAGAUACUGCUUCAUCAAUAUGAAGAGUCUCAUUUCAGUUUUUUUUAGAGGUACUGCUCUAAAAUCCUCGGAGAGUCUUAGAUUCAAUUAAGGUAUUUUUCCCUUGUUGGAAUAUCUUAAUUCUAUCGUAUAAGAUGCUGCUUCGACUCGAUACAGAGAAUCUCAUUUUUUACUGUUUGAAAUGCUGCUUCAUCAAUAUGAAGAGUCUUAUUUUCAGAUUUUUUAGAGAUACUGCUCUAAAAUCCUCGGAGAGUCUUAGAUUCAAUUAAGGUAUUUUUCCCUUGUUGGAAUAUCUUAAUUCUAUCGUAUAAGAUGCUGCUUCGACUCGAUAUAGAGAAUCUCAUUUUUUACUGUUUGAGAUGCUGCUUCAUCAAUAUGAAGAGUCUCAUUUUCAGAUUUUUUAGAGAUACUGCUCUAAUAUCCUCGGAGAGUCUUAGAUUCAAUUAAAGUAUUUUUCCCUUGCUGGAAUAUUUUAAUUCUAUCAUAUAAGAUGCUGCUUCGACUCGAUACAGAGAAUCUCAUUUUUACUAUUUGAGAUGUUGCUUCAUCAAUAUGAAGAGUCUCAUUUCAUAUUUUUUAGAGAUACUGCUCUAAUAUCCUCGGAGAGUCUUAGAUUCAAUUAAGGUAUCUUUCCCUUGCUGGAACAUCUUAAUUCUAUCAUAUAAGAUGCUGCUUCGACUCGAUACAGAGAAUCUCACUAAAUAUCCUCGGAGAGUCUUAGAUUCAAUUAAGGUAUCUUUCCCUUGCUGGAACAUCUUAAUUCUAUCAUAUAAGAUGCUGCUUCGACUCGAUACAGAGAAUCUCACUUUUACUGUUGAGAUGCUGCUCCAUCAAUAUGAAGAGUCUCAUGCCAGAUUUUCUUUAUACUGCUCUAGCAUCCUGAAAAAUCUUGAGAUUUAGCUAGGGAAGUCACUCCAUUACUAACAUAUCUUGACUGUGAUGUCCAAGAUACUGUUCUGACGUUUCCCAGAAAGUCUUGGCUGUCUCGUUUUACCUUUUGAUAACUUUUCUUACUAUAUUUCUCACUGCAUUUUCUUUCUGCAUUUCUUCCUUGCAUUUCAAAAAGACAAAAUUUGGGUCUUUUCGUAUUUAAUUAUCUUCCACUACGAAUGUAUGAAGACCGUUGUCAUUCUUACCUUCUAGUUCAAGAUAAUGAAAUAGGGGCAGCUGUCAUACCCCAAUUUUAUCCGGGCAUAUUUAAAUUUUUGUAAAAUCGAUUUCAUUUUUAAUUUGCAUCAUAUGCACAGCAUGACAUGCAUUUCAUCAUGAAUAAAACCUAAAAUAUCAGUCAGAAUAAAUUUAUUGAAAAUACAGACAAACUGGUUAAAUCAUUUCUCANUUAGUUAAUUUGAUAAUUGUUAAUUGCCCGGAUUAAUCCCUUCUAUUUAAUUUUAAAAACUAUUAAAUUAUUUUAAUUUUAAUCAACUUGUUAUUUGAUUUAAUUGAAAUUUUGGUAAAUUUAUUUCAUUAACUUAAUUAAUCGAUUUAAACCUAAAAUUAUAAUAAAUUAGUUUUCGAUAUUUUACGAAUGGUCGUUUUCUAAUUUAUCACAAUUUCACACUCAUUUAACAAAUCACUUCAUUUAUUCACAAAUUUUAAACCUCGAUCCAACAUGAAGUAUUCUUUAUUAAUUUAGUGAAAAUACUUGAUCACAAUAAAUACCAUUUCAUUUGAAAUGAAAAGGGGGGAUGUUUUGGUUUUCAACUCCUCUCCUCGUUAUUUGAAUACGAGCUUAUACUUACUCGGCUUUAGUCAAAUAGUCGUCAUGUCUAAUCCACUUAAGCAAAUCAAAACAUUCUUACAAUAAUAGAAAUGAAGGGAGUAACUUUGAGUCUUCAUUUUUCUCCUGACUUUGAUACAUUUCUUUUACUGGUUAGCGUAAUUUCGUUCUUUACAAACUUCUUAAACCAAAACAAAAUAAAUUUCAUAAUAACAAAAUGAAAAAGGAGUGACUUUGAUCAUUAACUUCUCUCUCAAUUAGUGUACGAGUUCUCUUCACUCGGUCAUUCGAAACAAUUGUCAUUUUCCACCCAAACUGUAUACGUAAGUUAAAUGAUUGUCAUUCUUUCAAACUUCUAAACCACCGAUUAAAUCAAAUAUUUUUCACAGUAGCAAUGAAAAGGAUUGAUUUUGCGUUUUCAACUCACUCCCCAAUUGUUUGAUUACGAGUUCUUCUUACUCGGUCAGUCGAACAUUGUCAUUUUCUGCACAACAACCUUAUCAAAUCAUUUCUUAACAAAACGUACGAAAGGGGAUGAUUUUGAGUUUUCAAUUCCUCUUCUCAAUGCUUGGAUAUGGAGUUGUCUUACUCGCCAUUCGAGCACUUUCAUUUAUUCUAAGUACAUCAACUAUUACACAAACCUAUUUUCAGAUCACUCAGAUGAAAAAGAAAGCGGUCUAGGUCUUCUAUUCCCUUCCCGAUUAUUGGAUACGAGUUUGUCUUACUCGAUUAUGUGAGUAUUCGUCAUCCAUUUAAAAUACUUAAUCUCAUAAGAUCCUUUCACAAUUAGGAUGAAAGAAGUGGUCUAGAGUCUUCUUAUUCCUUUCCCGACUUUGUUUAGUUACGAGUUGUACUUACUCGAAUAUCCGAGUAAUCGUUUAUCCACAAAAAUAUCUCAACACAUCAAACCUAUCUUCCGGCCUCUUCCGCGCCCGUGCCCGAUCAAAACUCUCAACCAAUCAAAACAUCCAAUAUACCAAUUGUCCGUCCGUAUGAUCAAUCUUUUCAAAAAGAACAUUGUUAUCCUUUUAAUGCGCAUUUAACAAACCAAUGCUUAGGCCUCCGCGAGAGUGACAAGCCAUGUGUUAGCUUUAAGAACGCAUCUAAAUGUUGCUUCCUAAAAAGACACCAACCAACCGUGUUCCGAACUCGAAUUGCUUGUUUCCUUAUUAUACCAUAAGGAUACGUAGCAGAGAUUGUUGUAUCUUCGCGAGCCACUAAUAAAACCUCCCAAUUUCCCUUUCUGAGGUUCUCUCCAUUUAUUAUUUAAUAUUUUAUAACUUAAGAUAACAAACAAACAUAAAAAUUAACACUCAAAUCAACAAAAUUGAACUAAAAGCGUUCCCGUGAGUACACGGACGUAAGGGCGUGCUCAUACCUUCCCCUUACGUUCAUCCCUCCCGAACCCCGAUAUGGUUGCGACGACCAUUAUUCCAUUUCCUAAAGGUUUUUACGAUAUUUUCCUAUUCCUUCAUUGCGGAUAAAUAAAGUUCGGUGUGGCCGACUUGUUCGAACGUAAAUUUUUCCGCGACCAUCGCCGAGAAUCUAUUUCUGGACUGGAAUUCUCUGCUUGAUUCACUCACAGGUUUUUUCUUAAUUUGCUGAAUUCAUUUUAUUUUUAUUUCCUUUUAUUUUAAAAAUCAUAUCUUUAUUUUAAAAUCCAAAAUUAUGGGACAAUUGCAUUAUUUCCUUUUUAAUUCUAGUUUCUGAAAAUGAUUUUUAAUUUUAUGAGUCCAUUUAAUAUUUUUUGUGAAUUUCUCUUUUCUGCUUAUUUUAAUUCAUUUAAUAGUUUCCAUAUUCAAAAAUGCAAAAAAUUUUUUAACUCUUUGAAUUGAUGAUGAAUCUGAUGAAAAAUUUCUCCUCAAUUUUCUUAAUUGAUUUUGAGAUUAUUAGUUCAUAUAUGUAUAUUUCUUCAUCUUUUAAUUGUUAAUUAGAUUUCUUUGGUUUCCAAAAAUGCAUGAAAUUUUUUUGUCAAACUUUGUUUUGACCUUUUGAACUCUUACGGAUGAUCAUUUGGACUUUUCCAAGUUGAUUUGAAAUGGAUUGAAGUUUGCCUUUAUUUUGUUUAUUUUUAAUUCAAGUAUAUUAAAUUCCAAAUCAAAAAUAUUUUAUUUGCUUUCUUGACUUCUAAGCUUCAUCUUCACUUCUGUUACCAUUGAUUGACUUUGAUUCUAUUUUGUUUGAUCAAUGUGUGUUUGGUAUUUAUUUUGAAUUUCAAUUUAUGUACUUCUAUUUUCUUCUUCUUCAUCUUUUUUCUUUUUGAUCAAUGAUUUUAAGAGGUGGUUAAAGCGUUUGACAUAUUGAGAGGCUAACCUUUUCUGAUUCAAUCAAAUUCUCUUGAUCAAAGAUCAACGUGAAGUGCUUUGCAUUAGGAUAGGUUGCUUCUUAGUAAAGCAAAAAAAACCUAAAUCAUACAAUAUAUUCUUUUUUUUGGCAUGGCGAGUUUGUUAGGAGCUUGGCUACUAGUCCAUUGGUCUCUAACUUGUGUUUGCUUGCCUAUAGUUUUAUUGACCGGCCUCAGAUAGUGUGAACUCUACUUAGUCACUUACGAUGCUUAACAUUAUCGCUAAAUUGCCUUAUGACACUAACAUUAACUAUAAUCAUUAACUUUUAAUUCAGCUUAAUUCUUGCCAAUUUACUUUAAUCAUUUAAUUUCUUUGCACAUUAAUUCAUUUACUUUUGCUCUUUUCUCACUUGAGCUCAUGUGUAUGUUAAUGAAUUUUGCCUUUUGUCACUUGAAGCACAUUAUUGUGUAUUUAUUUGUGUUGUUUUGUUUUGUUGUGUGGAACCAAUGCAAUGGACAAGGACUUAGAUUUUAGACCUUACCUAUGCUAAUGGAGUUUUGAAGAGCCAACUAGGCCUCAUUCCUUUUAGUGCCCUAUAUUGUCAAAGAGCAACUAAGCCUCAUUGCCUUUUGAUGCUUAAAUUCUUGAAAUGAUUUGAAAGGAUCCUAAUUAUAAACUCACUCUUGUUCAUUCUUUAUUUGCUUGUAACUUUUUUAUUUGUGUGCUUUGUGUGCUAGGGAUCUAAAACUGAGCCAAUUAGAAACAUUUUCAUUGAGCAUCCAAAGGAGAGAUACAAAAGCCAUUGGAAGAUUCCUAGGAGCUUGAUUGUUAUUUGCUUGAUUGCUUGAGUUAUUGCUUAUGUGCUAUUCCAAAGGAUGGGAGCAACUUGGAUCAUCUUAUAUAUCUCAAGAAGGGAACUCCAAUGUGGUUUAUUCUCUUCCUUCAUCUUUGCAUGUUUUAGGACCUAGCCAUUUCUUUUUCUCUCCGCUCUACCAAGCCAAACUUUUGAUGAAACUUACAUUGUUUUCAAAAAUAGAAACCUAAGACACUAUACAUUUGAUUUUUCCAAACUCUUUUCAUAACACUUAUUUGAAUUUAUUUUAAGUCAACUUUGACACUUACUUUGUGAAUACUUUUCAUUGUAAUACAACUCACUCAAUUGUUUUUGCUUUCAAUGGCCACUUCUUGCAAAGCUUUUUAUAAACAAUAGCUUUAGGUUAUUGAGUUAUGCCGAGAGGUGAUAUAAUACUCACCUAUCUUUAGUUUGAUCGAACUAUUAAGACUUCAUUGCUUAUUAUAGGGUUACCCCUACUGAUGUUUGAAGCUCUCCUUUCACAUUGUGGAUUUGUGGUUUUAGGUUGAGUUUUUCCCCUUUGAUAACAAAAGACCUUAAGGCUUUUAACCAAUCAAUUCACCAAUUCUUUUGAGAUUUUUACCCCGAACUACGAGGUGAUCCUAAUCUUUUUUAAGAUGGUACGUAGGCAAUGCGGUUUAUCCAUUCAAACUUGUAAAUAAAUUGCUAUAUUCUUUCUAUCUCCCCAUCAUGUUUGCCACAAAUAUUUUCACAAAUACCAACCUCCUUACACAUUGGUGAAAAGGGCUCCUAAUUCGGUCACCAUUCCAUUGAAAUUCCCACCGUUAAUCCGACAUUUUUCAUCAAUAUUUGUAAGAUUUUAUGUUUGUUUAUAGUUGUUUCAGAGUCAUUUUAUCAUGUUUUGUUGGUUUGGUAUCGCAUUGCAUUUUAUUACAAGUUUAUGUCAAAAAGGUCUCUUUUACGCUUCGUUUUGGUAGUGUUAUUGUUACAGGCCAUUGCACAGGUUUAAAAGCACUAACAGUGGAGUUGUGGAUACUCAGAAAGGCAAAAAUAUAAAGAGACAGCAGGUCAACACGGGCCCCCGUGUGCUACAACGCUGCCCGUGUUGUUGGUCAGGCAAAGCAAACUUGGAGAGGAAAAACAGAGAGCAACACAGGCACCCGUGUGGUGACACACGGCUGUGUUGUUUAAAACAGUGCAUUAACACGGGCACCCGUGUGUAGGAACACGACCCGUGUUGUUACCUCUGUACCUUAAUUUGAAAAUGCUCAUGUUGGAGAGCACACACGGGCACCCUUGUGUACACAGACGACCCGUGUUGAUGGGCGCAACUUAGAAACUUCAAUUUUUUCCAUGUGAACCUAUUCUGCUCAUUAAGGGUAGUUUGGACUUUUUGCUAGAGGAAAAUCCAUCUGAAACUAUUAGAAGGCUUGAGAGAGAAAGGAGAAGUCACUUUUUGACUUACGAAAGAAAACACUGUAUUGAGAAGAUAGCUACCACGGAGGAUUCGAAGACGACGUGAUUCAAGGGUUCCGACCAUUGAAGAUCAAAAUCUCCUAGUUCUUUGUAAUGUCUAAUUUUCAUACUAUGAUUUCGUUUAAUACUAUGAGAGGCUAAACCCCCUAUGUUAGGGGGGUGGUCCUGAUUUGAUCGUCAUGUUACUGAUGUUGACCAAUGUUUCUUUUACUUCUGUACUUAUUUCAAUUCAUUGUGUGCUGUUAUUCUGCUUUUGUAUCGACAAAUACAAUUGAUCUAGAUGACUAUCAAUUAACAGGAUUGUUAGGGUUUUCACACAAUUGGGUUUAUGAAUGAAUCAUCUAGGACUAGUAACUUUUGUAAACCACCGAAAACCUCGAUUUUAUUUAUGAUUAAAACCAAGGAUUUAUUGAAUGGACAUUUGAUAAAAAUUGGUAGUUUAAUAGUUUCUUUCUUGAGGACUUAAGGAAGAACAUUCUGAGGUUAGGUAAUUGGAUGGUUCAUGUGUAUUAAGGAAAUCUUGACUGAAUUCAUAACUGGUUAAAUCAACCACCUAUCCUAGCAUGUUUUAACUUAAUCAAUUAUAUUUUAUUGUCUGUUGUGUUUAUUGCUGAAAUUCCAAAAACAACCAAACCAUUAUCUUUGUGUUCUGAUAGAAUCAAAGUUAAAUAAGUAUUUCCUACGCAAUCCCUGAGAUUGAUACUUGGAAAUAAAACUCCUUAUUACUACAUUGGUAAAAAUAGUACACUUGCUUUCGCCGCUCACCGUAACACCCUCCACUCACCGUCACCGCUCCUCAACCAUCACCAACAUCCGCCGGAAAUCUCCACACAACGACCCUCCAUUUCAACUUCCGGCGACCUCUCCAACAUCCGACGACAACCUCCUUCCGCCGCUCACCGUAACACCCUCCACUCACCGUUACCGCUCCUCAACCAUCACCAACACCCGCCGGGAAUCUCCACACAACGACCCUCCAUUUCAACUUCCGGCGACCUCUCCAACAUCCGACGACAAC
This 16427-nucleotide long non-coding RNA is filed under the name Lathyrus oleraceus (garden pea). Its description in RNAcentral is "Pisum sativum (pea) long non-coding RNA (PSAT_LNC035524)". Lineage: Eukaryota; Viridiplantae; Streptophyta; Magnoliopsida; Fabales; Fabaceae. The record is from RNAcentral.